This 246-nucleotide ribosomal RNA is filed under the name uncultured Anaerolineaceae bacterium. RNAcentral describes it as "partial 16S ribosomal RNA". It matches the Rfam family "Bacterial small subunit ribosomal RNA", at positions 1141 to 1382 of the family's 1533-position model. Lineage: Bacteria; Bacillati; Chloroflexota; Anaerolineae; Anaerolineales; Anaerolineaceae. The record is from RNAcentral.
ACACGGAACUGCCGGUCAUAAACCGGAGGAAGGUGGGGAUGACGGUCAAGUCAGCAUGGCCUUUAUAUCCCUGGGCUACACACACGCUACAAUGGGAAGGGACAAUAGGUUGCGAAGCCGCGAGGCGGAGCCAAUCCAGCAAAACUUCCCUCAGUUCAGAUUGCAGGCUGCAACUCGCCUGCAUGAAGUUGGAGUUGCUAGUAAACGCAGGUCAGCCAUACUGCGUUGAAUACGUUCCCGGGGCUU